GAUGUCUCCUUCUUCCUCCCUCCCUCCCAGGAGUUGCUCUCCAGUCACCUCUGCAAGCCUGUGUAUUACCUGUGUUUCUGAAAGGAAGAGUUGACAGAGUAUUUAAUUUUGAAUUUUGAAAAAAACAAGUUGUUUCACUUAAAAUCUGAUGGCCCUGCCCCUCAUCGCCCCCCUGCAAUUUCCCUACAUGUAUCUGCUAAAGGGGUUAUACUCAUGCCUUUCUGCUACCCAGCAUUUGUUUAGAUUAAAAUUAGAAUUACUAAAAUACCAUGGAGUUUCUUAUUCCUGCAAAAAUAUUUUUAACUGGACAAAAAAUGUAUUCCAGUCACAGUUGCAGCAAUAUCUUUCAGAUCCUGGCCUUGCUGUAGGUGUUCAUUGAGUUCAGCCACGCUUCAAGUAUUUUGUUCCACAGAAUCAUCACCUACAGUAUUUCUGAUUUUGGUGUACUUGUGGAUCCAGUAAAAUUAUGAGCUGACCUGCACACUGAAGUGUGGAGUUAGCUCCCAGGAACUGCAGCCCAUGAGUACUUGAGAAGGGCUCUCUGGCCAAGGGGAAGGGAUGACCAGUGGGGCUGAUCCUGGGUCUGCAGUGGAAGAGUGAGGAAGUAGAAAUUCAAUUUUGAGGCUGAGCAUUGUUUCCUGAAGGUCUGCUUCUGAAUUUUGGGAGGAUACACAACUUCUGCUGUCCUCACCGAGAAGUUGCUUGUGCUGCUGUUCUACAGUAGGUUUUAACUUCCAGUGCAUCACGAUGGUUUUCAAAGGAAGGAAUGGAUACCUCAUGACAAGUAUUGUUUUAAGCAUGUGGUACCUUACUGUCUACUUCUCAUCGGGAUCAUCUUGGAAACUCAGCAGAAAAGCUCAGUGUUUCUCGGGGAGGAGUGGGAAAGAACACAGGAGCAUCUCGGCCCCAGCGGGGAUCACCUGCUCUUUGUUCCGGGCAUUGUUCUCACAAAAGCUCCUUUGCACUGGGUUUUCCUCAUGCUUCUCCAUGCAGGAAAGUGUCCGUGGAGCAGCACAUCCUGGGUCAGAAAGGUGUAACCAUUUCCUCAUGACAGAAGGAAUCACAGGGGAAGUGAAACAAUGCAUGGCCUAAUCAAUAUUGGGAAAAUUACUCCUAACUGGCCCUGAUCAGCAUAACGUGUGGAACAGCCUGUGCUGUCAAAGAAGGGGAGUCACAUGUGGCGGCCUUCGAAGCCAAGCACAGUUCAUCUCCUGGAACCUGCAGCAGCUUUCCUUGGAGAAAGUGAAACAAAUACUCUGUUU
Long non-coding RNA from Lepidothrix coronata (blue-crowned manakin), 1262 nucleotides. RefSeq lists it as uncharacterized. The transcript is spliced from 7 exons. The record is from RefSeq and is a predicted model, not a curated record. NCBI's taxonomy places the organism in Eukaryota, Metazoa, Chordata, Aves, Passeriformes, Pipridae.